This 2923-nucleotide ribosomal RNA is filed under the name Salmonella enterica subsp. enterica serovar Cerro. RNAcentral describes it as "LSU rRNA". It matches the Rfam family "Bacterial large subunit ribosomal RNA". The record is from RNAcentral. Lineage: Bacteria; Pseudomonadati; Pseudomonadota; Gammaproteobacteria; Enterobacterales; Enterobacteriaceae.
GGUUAAGCGACUAAGCGUACACGGUGGAUGCCCUGGCAGUCAGAGGCGAUGAAGGGCGUGCUAAUCUGCGAUAAGCGCCGGUAAGGUGAUAUGAACCGUUAUAACCGGCGAUACCCGAAUGGGGAAACCCAGUGUGACUCGUCACACUAUCAUUAACUGAAUCCAUAGGUUAAUGAGGCGAACCGGGGGAACUGAAACAUCUAAGUACCCCGAGGAAAAGAAAUCAACCGAGAUUCCCCCAGUAGCGGCGAGCGAACGGGGAGGAGCCCAGAGCCUGAAUCAGCAUGUGUGUUAGUGGAAGCGUCUGGAAAGGCGCGCGAUACAGGGUGACAGCCCCGUACACAAAAGCGCAUGUGCUGUGAGCUCGAUGAGUAGGGCGGGACACGUGGUAUCCUGUCUGAAUAUGGGGGGACCAUCCUCCAAGGCUAAAUACUCCUGACUGACCGAUAGUGAACCAGUACCGUGAGGGAAAGGCGAAAAGAACCCCGGCGAGGGGAGUGAAAAAGAACCUGAAACCGUGUACGUACAAGCAGUGGGAGCACCCUUUUGGGUGUGACUGCGUACCUUUUGUAUAAUGGGUCAGCGACUUAUAUUCUGUAGCAAGGUUAACCGUAUAGGGGAGCCGUAGGGAAACCGAGUCUUAACCGGGCGUUAAGUUGCAGGGUAUAGACCCGAAACCCGGUGAUCUAGCCAUGGGCAGGUUGAAGGUUGGGUAACACUAACUGGAGGACCGAACCGACUAAUGUUGAAAAAUUAGCGGAUGACCUGUGGCUGGGGGUGAAAGGCCAAUCAAACCGGGAGAUAGCUGGUUCUCCCCGAAAGCUAUUUAGGUAGCGCCUCGUGAAUUCAUCUCCGGGGGUAGAGCACUGUUUCGGCUAGGGGGCCAUCCCGGCUUACCAACCCGAUGCAAACUGCGAAUACCGGAGAAUGUUAUCACGGGAGACACACGGCGGGUGCUAACGUCCGUCGUGAAGAGGGAAACAACCCAGACCGCCAGCUAAGGUCCCAAAGUCAUGGUUAAGUGGGAAACGAUGUGGGAAGGCCCAGACAGCCAGGAUGUUGGCUUAGAAGCAGCCAUCAUUUAAAGAAAGCGUAAUAGCUCACUGGUCGAGUCGGCCUGCGCGGAAGAUGUAACGGGGCUAAACCAUGCACCGAAGCUGCGGCAGCGACACUAUGUGUUGUUGGGUAGGGGAGCGUUCUGUAAGCCUGUGAAGGUGUGCUGUGAGGCAUGCUGGAGGUAUCAGAAGUGCGAAUGCUGACAUAAGUAACGAUAAAGCGGGUGAAAAGCCCGCUCGCCGGAAGACCAAGGGUUCCUGUCCAACGUUAAUCGGGGCAGGGUGAGUCGACCCCUAAGGCGAGGCCGAAAGGCGUAGUCGAUGGGAAACGGGUUAAUAUUCCCGUACUUGGUGUUACUGCGAAGGGGGGACGGAGAAGGCUAUGUUGGCCGGGCGACGGUUGUCCCGGUUUAAGCGUGUAGGCUGGUUUUCCAGGCAAAUCCGGAAAAUCAAGGCUGAGGCGUGAUGACGAGGCACUACGGUGCUGAAGCAACAAAUGCCCUGCUUCCAGGAAAAGCCUCUAAGCAUCAGGUAACAUCAAAUCGUACCCCAAACCGACACAGGUGGUCAGGUAGAGAAUACCAAGGCGCUUGAGAGAACUCGGGUGAAGGAACUAGGCAAAAUGGUGCCGUAACUUCGGGAGAAGGCACGCUGACACGUAGGUGAAGUGAUUUACUCAUGGAGCUGAAGUCAGUCGAAGAUACCAGCUGGCUGCAACUGUUUAUUAAAAACACAGCACUGUGCAAACACGAAAGUGGACGUAUACGGUGUGACGCCUGCCCGGUGCCGGAAGGUUAAUUGAUGGGGUCAGCGCAAGCGAAGCUCCUGAUCGAAGCCCCGGUAAACGGCGGCCGUAACUAUAACGGUCCUAAGGUAGCGAAAUUCCUUGUCGGGUAAGUUCCGACCUGCACGAAUGGCGUAAUGAUGGCCAGGCUGUCUCCACCCGAGACUCAGUGAAAUUGAACUCGCUGUGAAGAUGCAGUGUACCCGCGGCAAGACGGAAAGACCCCGUGAACCUUUACUAUAGCUUGACACUGAACAUUGAGCCUUGAUGUGUAGGAUAGGUGGGAGGCUUUGAAGUGUGGACGCCAGUCUGCAUGGAGCCGACCUUGAAAUACCACCCUUUAAUGUUUGAUGUUCUAACGUGGACCCGUGAUCCGGGUUGCGGACAGUGUCUGGUGGGUAGUUUGACUGGGGCGGUCUCCUCCUAAAGAGUAACGGAGGAGCACGAAGGUUGGCUAAUCCUGGUCGGACAUCAGGAGGUUAGUGCAAUGGCAUAAGCCAGCUUGACUGCGAGCGUGACGGCGCGAGCAGGUGCGAAAGCAGGUCAUAGUGAUCCGGUGGUUCUGAAUGGAAGGGCCAUCGCUCAACGGAUAAAAGGUACUCCGGGGAUAACAGGCUGAUACCGCCCAAGAGUUCAUAUCGACGGCGGUGUUUGGCACCUCGAUGUCGGCUCAUCACAUCCUGGGGCUGAAGUAGGUCCCAAGGGUAUGGCUGUUCGCCAUUUAAAGUGGUACGCGAGCUGGGUUUAGAACGUCGUGAGACAGUUCGGUCCCUAUCUGCCGUGGGCGCUGGAGAACUGAGGGGGGCUGCUCCUAGUACGAGAGGACCGGAGUGGACGCAUCACUGGUGUUCGGGUUGUCAUGCCAAUGGCACUGCCCGGUAGCUAAAUGCGGAAGAGAUAAGUGCUGAAAGCAUCUAAGCACGAAACUUGCCCCGAGAUGAGUUCUCCCUGAGACUUUAAGUCUCCUGAAGGAACGUUGAAGACGACGACGUUGAUAGGCCGGGUGUGUAAGCGCAGCGAUGCGUUGAGCUAACCGGUACUAAUGAACCGUGAGGCUUAACCUUACAACGCCGAAGAUGUUUUG